UACAGAGGUCCCGAGCGUUGUUCGGAUUCACUGGGCGUAAAGGGUGCGUAGGUGGCUUGGUAAGUUUGAUGUGAAAGCUCAGGGCUCAACCCUGAAAUGGCAUUGAAUACUACUGAGCUGGAGGUUUGGAGGGGGGACUGGAAUUCUCGGUGUAGCAGUGAAAUGCUUAGAUAUCGUCAAGAACACCUAUAGCGAAGGCAGCUUACUAGGCUGUAACUGACGCUGAGGCACGAAAGUGUGGGGAUCAAACAGG
Molecule: ribosomal RNA, 253 nt
Filed under: uncultured bacterium
Lineage: Bacteria
Description: partial 16S ribosomal RNA
Rfam family: Bacterial small subunit ribosomal RNA
Source: RNAcentral